UGCGAGUUAAUGUACUGGCAGCAUCCGAGACUCAUGAUUUCGAAGAGAUUGUUCGAAUCAAUCACUCGCAU
Jimgerdemannia flammicorona is the source of this 71-nucleotide non-coding RNA. The record is from the annotation of a GenBank genome assembly. Lineage: Eukaryota; Fungi; Mucoromycota; Endogonomycetes; Endogonales; Endogonaceae.